This 1496-nucleotide ribosomal RNA is filed under the name uncultured bacterium. Its description in RNAcentral is "16S ribosomal RNA". It matches the Rfam family "Bacterial small subunit ribosomal RNA". The record is from RNAcentral.
GCCUAACACACUGCAAGUCGAGCGGCAGCACGGGAAGCUUGCUUCCUGGUGGCGAGCGGCGGACGGGUGAGUAAUGCAUAGGAAUCUGCCCGAUAGUGGGGGAUAACCUGGGGAAACCCAGGCUAAUACCGCAUACGUCCUACGGGAGAAAGCAGGGGCUCUUCGGACCUUGCGCUAUCGGAUGAGCCUAUGUCGGAUUAGCUGGUUGGUGAGGUAAUGGCUCACCAAGGCGACGAUCCGUAGCUGGUCUGAGAGGAUGAUCAGCCACAUCGGGACUGAGACACGGCCCGAACUCCUACGGGAGGCAGCAGUGGGGAAUAUUGGACAAUGGGCGCAAGCCUGAUCCAGCCAUGCCGCGUGUGUGAAGAAGGCCCUCGGGUUGUAAAGCACUUUCAGUGGGGAAGAAAGCCUGGUGGUUAAUACCCGCCAGGAAGGACAUCACCCACAGAAGAAGCACCGGCUAACUCCGUGCCAGCAGCCGCGGUAAUACGGAGGGUGCGAGCGUUAAUCGGAAUUACUGGGCGUAAAGCGCGCGUAGGUGGCUUGAUAAGCCGGUUGUGAAAGCCCCGGGCUCAACCUGGGAACGGCAUCCGGAACUGUCAGGCUAGAGUGCAGGAGAGGAAGGUAGAAUUCCCGGUGUAGCGGUGAAAUGCGUAGAGAUCGGGAGGAAUACCAGUGGCGAAGGCGGCGUUCUGGACUGACACUGACACUGAGGUGCGAAAGCGUGGGUAGCAAACAGGAUUAGAUACCCUGGUAGUCCACGCCGUAAACGAUGUCGACUAGCCGUUGGGUCCUUCGCGGACUUUGUGGCGCAGUUAACGCGAUAAGUCGACCGCCUGGGGAGUACGGCCGCAAGGUUAAAACUCAAAUGAAUUGACGGGGGCCCGCACAAGCGGUGGAGCAUGUGGUUUAAUUCGAUGCAACGCGAAGAACCUUACCUACCCUUGACAUCCUGCGAACCCUUCGGAGACGAAGGGGUGCCUUCGGGAACGCAGAGACAGGUGCUGCAUGGCUGUCGUCAGCUCGUGUUGUGAAAUGUUGGGUUAAGUCCCGUAACGAGCGCAACCCUUGUCCUUAUUUGCCAGCGGGUAAUGCCGGGAACUCUAAGGAGACUGCCGGUGACAAACCGGAGGAAGGUGGGGACGACGUCAAGUCAUCAUGGCCCUUACGGGUAGGGCUACACACGUGCUACAAUGGUCGGUACAAAGGGUUGCGAACUUGCGAAAGUGAGCUAGUCCCAGAAAGCUGAUCUCAGUCCGGAUCGGAGUCUGCAACUCGACUCCGUGAAGUCGGAAUCGCUAGUAAUCGUGAAUCAGAAUGUCACGGUGAAUACGUUCCCGGGCCUUGUACACACCGCCCGUCACACCAUGGGAGUGGACUGCACCAGAAGUGGUUAGCCUAACCUUCGGGAGGGCGAUCACCACGGUGUGGUUCAUGACUGGGGUGAAGUCGUAACAAGGUAGCCGUAGGGGAACCUGCGGCUGGAUCACCUCCUU